ACAACAAAUACCUGCUAUACAGAAUAUUCUACAUUUUGCUUUUUAUAUGUGGUGGAGAUCACUCCAACAUAAUGACUUUCUUCACUCUACUAAUAGCUUCGCAUACAAAGCCAUGUGUCUCCUAAUUUCUCAGCCAAUAAAAUGCAAAUUAUGAAUAUGUAUUUCCAAAAUUGUAAGUUCUUUGAAUCUAACGUGGGAAGAAAAUAUUUACGCCAUUCAGCCUAGAGAGCUAAUGAAGCACCCCAAUGAGGCAGGAUGUGUUUGGAUGAAUAGAAGGCACAUGAUCCAUUCACAGUUACAAAAAACAUUUUAUUUUACUUACGUGGACAUGAGAAGUAUGAUACAUUCUAAAUAAAAGAGUAUCAAAAUACAAUUUCAGUGGCCAAAUAUGAAUCUUACACAAGCAUCUUGUACUCUGGUUCUUUUGAUUAAACUGUCCUCUAUGUCUCUUCAGUUUCCAAAAAUAAGACUAAUUUUCAUUAAUCUGUGAUACGCACCAGGUAUUACUUUUCAAAAGAGAGACCAUGGUUCCUGCUCCAUUUUUUGUACCACAUACGCCACCCCAUCAUUCUACUCAGUGAAAAUGUCCUUCUCUCAAUAUCCUGGCCUACUCGGUUUCAUGAUCACCAGUACGGCAAUCCUCUCCUAUAACUGUCAACAGAGGUCCAGAGUCAUACAAACAAAUCUAGAGAAGGGCCAAUGACCUAAGAAAGCAUAAUAAUUUAGAUAAUACUUUUACAUCUAUUCCCUGCCACUUCCCGUGUUCUCAAAUUUAUACUAGAUUGUAUCUUAAAAUUACUGUCCUAGUUUUUCCAGGUUCCAUGGGUAUGAAUAAACGCCAUCUAAUGAAGGAGCUCCUUUCAUCUUACGGAUCCCUUCCCUGAGACCAUAAUGGUGAGAAAUGAAAAGCAUGUAUGAAAGUAUAACAAAACAGGUUUCAAACUUCAGGUGGUAAGCCAUCAAUAAAUGUAGCCUUUUCCAGAAACCUCAAAGAACUGAAUGAAAUCAUUUUAUAAACUGAGGGUAAUUAGACCCUUCCACAGAUGUCCUUACUACAUGGACACACAUCAUCUCACGAGUUUUAAACAAUUUCACUUUUAAUUGUCUGUGGAAUUUAACAUCUGAGGUUGGUUAAUCUUCGAAAACAAUAGACUUAGUUGCCUCUACUAUGAAUUUUCUUAUGUACAGUUCAUUGAGAGAAUUGGUGAAACAAUUCAUCACUUUCCUUACAUGGGUACUAAUUCUGUCUGAAUAUUUCUGCCUGAAUUCUUAGGUGUAUCAUGAGGUCAUUGUUUACAGACCUUGAUAGCUUUGUAUGGUUUUCAUCUUAUAUGAAUUCUUUCAUGACCACAAAGUUGUACAUUUUUUAUAAAGCUGGUCACACUCAUUACAUUUAUAAGGUUUCUCUCUAGUAAGAAUUCUGUUCCACAAGGCUUAAACUUUGGGUACACCUUACCAUGUUACAUUUGUGUGGUUUCUCUCAAAGAUGCGUAUUCUGAUAUCAAGUGAGGUGUGAGCCCUGGUUACUGGCUUUCUCACAUCCAUUACUUUUAUAUGGUUUCUCUCCAGGAUGGAGUCUCUGAUGCUGAAUAAAGCUUGAACACGUACAUAAGUUUUGUCUUAAUCAUUAUAUUUGUAAGGUUUCCUUCUGCUAUGAAUUCUCUGAUGAUCCCCAAAGCUUGACCUCUGAAUAAAAGCAGUGCCACAUAUAUUAGGUUUAUAAUGUUUCUUUUCAGUAUGUAUUUUCUGAUGCCUAGUUAGGUUUGCAAAUUGGGUAAAAGCUCUGCCACACUCAUUACAUUUGUAAGGUUUCUCUCCAGUGUGUAUUUUCCGAUGUCGAUUGAGAUGUGAACGCUCCAUAAAGGCUUUGCCGCACUCAUUGCAUUUGUAAGGUUUCUCUCCAGUAUGAGUUCUCUCAUGACCCCAAAGGUGUGAAUGUUGGAUAAAAGCCUUAUCACAUUUAUUACAUUUAUAAGACUUUUUCCUAGUGUGUGUUUUCCCAUAUUGUGCAGGUAACGAAGGAUAUUUAAAAACCUUCCUAUAUUUAUUACAAAUGUUUUUAACACUAGAAGGAAUUAUUUGAAGUGGUGAAACUGAGGAACCAUUGUUAAUAGACUUCCCAACUUGACUGCAUUCAUAAACUUUCUCCUCAGUUUGAAAUCUCUGCAGUUCAGCAAGGUGGGCCUGCAAACUUAAUCCAGGUCUAUUUUCCAAACACCUUAUAUACUUGUUUCCAGCAUCGCUCAUGUUAUUUUUCAGUU
Long non-coding RNA from Equus caballus (horse), 2261 nucleotides. The record is from Ensembl. NCBI's taxonomy places the organism in Eukaryota, Metazoa, Chordata, Mammalia, Perissodactyla, Equidae.